GUAGGUGGCAAGCGUUGUCCGGAAUUAUUGGGCGUAACGCGCGCGCAGGCGGUUCUUUAAGUCUGAUGUGAAAGCCCACGGCUCAACCGUGGAGGGUCAUUGGAAACUGGAGAACUUGAGUACAGAAGAGGAAAGCGGAAUUCCACGUGUAGCGGUGAAAUGCGUAGAGAUGUGGAGGAACACCAGUGGCGAAGGCGGCUUUCUGGUCUGUAACUGACGCUGAGGCGCGAAAGCGUGGGGAGCAAACAGGAUUAGAUACCCUGGUAGUCCACGCCGUAAACGAUGAGUGCUAAGUGUUAGGGGGUUUCCGCCCCCUUAGUGCUGCAGCUAACGCAUUAAGCACUCCGCCUGGGAGUACGACCGCAAGGUUG
Molecule: ribosomal RNA, 371 nt
Filed under: uncultured organism
Description: partial 16S ribosomal RNA
Rfam family: Bacterial small subunit ribosomal RNA
Source: RNAcentral